UGAGAUAUAGCUCAAUUGGUAGAGCACCAAACUGUUAAUUUGGGGAAUGCGUGUCCGAAUCACGCUAUCUCAG
This 73-nucleotide transfer RNA is filed under the name Caudoviricetes sp. RNAcentral describes it as "tRNA-Asn". It matches the Rfam family "tRNA". Rfam says of the family: Transfer RNA (tRNA) molecules are approximately 80 nucleotides in length. The record is from RNAcentral. Lineage: Duplodnaviria; Heunggongvirae; Uroviricota; Caudoviricetes.